CUAAAGACAUUUCCGCGGGUCAGUCCGCGCGUGUACGCGUUAAGAAUUACAUGUCGCGUGAUAUUUCGUCCAAAACAAAAUGGCGGCAUUUAUAAGUUUAUUUUUUUUAUUUGUGACACUGUUACAUGACUUAGCCGACGGCCGGGGAUUGGCAGGAUCGUCACAUGACAAGGUUAUAGUGUGCUACGUGUCCCGAUGGUCAGUGUACCGGCCUGGAGCUGGUAGCUUCGACAUAUUCGAUAUAGAGCCGUCGCUCUGCACACAUCUUAUUUAUUGCUUCGUCGGCCUUGACGAGAACACGUUUAAGAUCACUAAUAUUGAUGCAUACCAAGAUUUGGAAAUUAAUGAUGGUAAAGGAGGGUUUAAGCGGAUCGUGGCCUUGAAAGAGAAGCACAAACACCUUAAAGUCUCAAUAGGUAUUGGAGGAUGGAAUGAGGGUUCCGCUAAAUAUUCCAAGAUGGCUGCUGAUCCAAAACUGAGGAAUAUAUUUAUAAGGAGUGUCAUGAACUUUUUAGAAACAUAUAAAUUCGAUGGUCUCGAUUUGAACUGGGAUUACCCGACACAAAGAGGAGGCAAGCCGGAAGAUAGGAAAAACUACGUACAUUUGAUUAGGGAAUUGUCAGAAGCAUUCGAACCAUAUGGCUUUCUUCUAACAGCUGCACUAAGACCUGGCAAAGACGAUAUGGACACGGUGUACGAUCUGACACAUGUCAAUUACUACCUAGAUUUCAUGCACAUCAUGACGUAUGACUACCAUGGAGCUUGGGAUGGCGUGGUGGGAGCGAAUGCGCCAAUACGAGGCCAAUACAAAGAUGACAUAUACAGCAUAGAAUACACAAUAAAUUACCUUUUGUCCCAUGGCCUGACUCCAAGUAAGAUGGUGUUUGGUUUACCGAUGUAUGGACGAACUUAUUGGUUUAAUACUCGUAAUGUCAAUGAUAUAGUAUUUGGUGAAACAACUACGAAAACAACAGGAUUCCAAGGACCAUUCAGUAAAGAAGACGGUUUCAUGGGAUAUAAUGAGAUCUGUUUGGAAAUGACAAAUAAAUCCUCUCUAUGGACUCAACAUUGGGAGGAGCAUACGAGUACGCCAUAUAUUCGAGACGAAGAGCGUUUCAUUACAUAUGAUAAUCCACGCUCCAUCGCCAAUAAAGUCAAGUUUGCAAUGGAUCGCGGUCUUGGUGGCUUCUCAGCUUGGAGUAUAGUAACCGAUGACUUCAGGGGAUCCUGUGACGAGGAACCGGAUACGUACAAAGAUUACAUCGAAAGAUUCAAUAAGAUUUCAGACCAAACUCUUCUAAAAGAUGCAUUGAUUAGUUUGACAGAAAACGAAAACGAAAAUCAAUUCUACGUGAUAUCCGACAAAAAAGUACGUUUACGUCUUCCGAAGCCGAGUUUCGCAAAUUACCCACUCCUGAGGACUGUCAACGAAGCUAUAUUCCUAGCAACAGAAGAGAAGAGAGUCCUAGAUGAAAUGGAGAAAAUUAAAACACAUAGAAGGAAUGAGUUAGAGAAGGGCAGCUCACCCUGUAUAAGGACUUGCACAGAGGUCUGCUUUUACGGCUUGUAAGCCUUUCAUAAUAAUAUAGUAUUUUAUAAAACAAAUAGCAGAUGGUGCGCACGAAAAUUCAAAAGUGAAUAAAAGUUCCCUAUAUACAUAUAUUAUAUAUAUAUGUUACUGUAAAAGCUCGAACUAAGGUAAAUCUUA
Molecule: RNA transcript, 1708 nt
Organism: Vanessa atalanta (red admiral)
Lineage: Eukaryota; Metazoa; Arthropoda; Insecta; Lepidoptera; Nymphalidae
Gene name: probable chitinase 2
Exons: 10
Source: RefSeq, a predicted model, not a curated record